UACGUAGGUGGCAAGCGUUGUCCGGAUUUACUGGGCGUAAAGAGCGCGCAGGCGGUCGUUCAAGUCGCGUGUGAAAGCCCCCGGCUCAACUGGGGAGGGUCACGCGAUACUGAUCGACUCGAAGGCAGGAGAGGGUAGUGGAAUUCCCGGUGUAGUGGUGAAAUGCGUAGAUAUCGGGAGGAACACCAGUGGCGAAGGCGACUACCUGGCCUGUUCUUGACGCUGAGGCGCGAAAGCUAGGGAGCAACGGG
RNAcentral lists this ribosomal RNA (251 nucleotides) under uncultured bacterium. RNAcentral describes it as "partial 16S ribosomal RNA". It matches the Rfam family "Bacterial small subunit ribosomal RNA", at positions 524 to 776 of the family's 1533-position model. The record is from RNAcentral.